GUCGAACGGAGAUUAUACGCAGAGGCGAUUUCGGUCAAAUCAUGUAAAAUCUUAGUGGCGGACGGGUGAGUAACGCGUGGGUAACCUGCCUUACACUGGGGGAUAACACUUAGAAAUAGGUGCUAAUACCGCAUAAGCGCACGAAGCCGCAUGGAUUUGUGUGAAAAACUCCGGUGGUGUAAGAUGGACCCGCGUCUGAUUAGCUUGUUGGCGGGGUAACGGCCCACCAAGGCGACGAUCAGUAGCCGGCCUGAGAGGGUGGACGGCCACAUUGGGACUGAGACACGGCCCAAACUCCUACGGGAGGCAGCAGUGGGGGAUAUUGGACAAUGGGGGGAACCCUGAUCCAGCGACGCCGCGUGAGUGAAGAAGUAUUUCGGUAUGUAAAGCUCUGUCAGCAGGGAAGAAAGAAAUGACGGUACCUGACCAAGAAGCCCCGGCUAACUACGUGCCAGCAGCCGCGGUAAUACGUAGGGGGCAAGCGUUAUCCGGAAUUACUGGGUGUAAAGGGAGCGUAGACGGUUAAGUAAGUCUGGAGUGAAAGGCCGGGGCCCAACCCCGGGACUGCUCUGGAAACUAUUCAACUUGAGUGCAGGAGAGGUAAGCGGAAUUCCUAGUGUAGCGGUGAAAUGCGUAGAUAUUAGGAGGAACACCAGUGGCGAAGGCGGCUUACUGGACUGUAACUGACGUUGAGGCUCGAAAGCGUGGGGA
Molecule: ribosomal RNA, 711 nt
Filed under: uncultured bacterium
Lineage: Bacteria
Description: bacterial SSU rRNA
Rfam family: Bacterial small subunit ribosomal RNA
Source: RNAcentral